GCUAGAUAGCUCAGUUGGUAGAGCAAAGGACUGAAAAUCCUUGUGUCCCUGGUUCGAUUCCAGGUCUAGC
This 70-nucleotide transfer RNA is filed under the name marine eukaryotic metagenome. It matches the Rfam family "tRNA". From Rfam's summary of the family: Transfer RNA (tRNA) molecules are approximately 80 nucleotides in length. Their secondary structure includes four short double-helical elements and three loops (D, anti-codon, and T loops). The record is from RNAcentral.